GGGGAUGUAAAGGUUUCGACGGGGAUUGUGAAGCAUGGGUAGCGAGUAGAGGAGCAUGCACCUCUAUAAAAGUAUGACGUUUUAAAACUAAACGACAACGAUAGUUUUGCUUUUGCAGCUUAAUUAAGCUGCCGUCUGUCCAGUGAGUACCACGGCUCUGGAACAGGCGUCGAUGAGUGGUGAACGGGCUUGCUGAGCACCUCGUAGGCAAUGCUUGUAUCAGAGGUUACCUCCCUUGGAAGCCUGCCAGCUGGCGUCCUGGGGCGGGAAUCGCAGUAGACUGGCUGCACUCGGAGAAACCUGUGUGAAUCGGUUUUCGGACAGGGGUUCAAUUCCCCUCAUCUCCAUUG
RNAcentral lists this transfer-messenger RNA (350 nucleotides) under Oscillospiraceae. Its description in RNAcentral is "Anaerotruncus sp910586875 Standard tmRNA". It matches the Rfam family "transfer-messenger RNA". From Rfam's summary of the family: Bacterial tmRNA, also known as 10Sa RNA or SsrA, is named for its dual tRNA and mRNA-like properties. Its role is to liberate the mRNA from a stalled ribosome. RNAcentral also lists the same sequence under 1 other name. The record is from RNAcentral. Lineage: Bacteria; Bacillati; Bacillota; Clostridia; Eubacteriales.